Molecule: small nuclear RNA, 170 nt
Organism: Tupaia belangeri (northern tree shrew)
Lineage: Eukaryota; Metazoa; Chordata; Mammalia; Scandentia; Tupaiidae
Gene: U1
Rfam family: U1 spliceosomal RNA
About the family: U1 is a small nuclear RNA (snRNA) component of the spliceosome (involved in pre-mRNA splicing).
Source: Ensembl
AUAUUUACCUGGCAGAGGAGAUACCAUGAUCACUAAGGUAUCCCAGGUUUUCCCAGGGCGAAGUUUAUUCAUUGCACUCCAGAAGUGCUGACCCCUUCGAUUUCCCCAAAUGUGGGAAACUUGACUGCAUAAUUUGUGGUAGUGGGGGACUACAUUCACACUUUCCCCUG